UAAGACGAACCGUGCGAACGUUGUUCGGAAUCACUGGGCUUAAAGGGCGCGUAGGCGGCUUAUCAAGUCAGGGGUGAAAUCUUUCGGCUCAACCGGAAAAGUGCCUUUGAUACUGAUAGGCUCGAGGGAGGUAGGGGUAUGUGGAACUUCCGGUGGAGCGGUGAAAUGCGUUGAUAUCGGAAGGAACGCCGGUGGCGAAAGCGACGUACUGGACCUCUUCUGACGCUGAGGCGCGAAAGCUAGGGGAGCAAACGGGAUUAGAUACCCCGGUAGUCCUAGCCCUAAACGAUGGGUACUAGGUUGUGGACUUGACAUGGGUUCACAGCCGAAGCAAAAGUAUUAAGUACCCCGCCUGGGGAGUAUGGUCGCAAGGCUG
Molecule: ribosomal RNA, 376 nt
Filed under: uncultured bacterium
Lineage: Bacteria
Description: bacterial SSU rRNA
Rfam family: Bacterial small subunit ribosomal RNA
Source: RNAcentral